Salvia miltiorrhiza (redroot sage) is the source of this 2325-nucleotide long non-coding RNA. RefSeq lists it as uncharacterized. The transcript is spliced from 2 exons. The record is from RefSeq and is a predicted model, not a curated record. Lineage: Eukaryota; Viridiplantae; Streptophyta; Magnoliopsida; Lamiales; Lamiaceae.
AUUUUGAACCUGAAAUAUUUCAUAUUUAUAAUAAUUGUUUUCAAUUUCAAAACCAAUAUAUAUAAUAUUUAUUUAAUCAAUACCUUAAUGUUUUCAAUUUCUUUGUCUUUCAAUUUCUUUGUCUUUCAAUUGAGUUUCCUUGGUCUCACUUUCAACUAUUGACCCACAAUAUUUAUUUAAAAUAUUUGGGUCGCAGUUGAUUUUUGUCACAACAUAUGCUCUAUCAAAAAUCGUUGAUUCUUCAACUUUAAUUUUAAAUAAAGCAUUUUUGUUGGUGAUAGCAUCUAUCUCAAUUGGCAACUCAUUGCUAUUAGGAUCCUGCAAAAUUUUUAAUUUAAAUUAAUAACUUUAGAAUUAUCUCCAUAAUUUUAUUUAUAAUUUUAUUUUGCAUUCACUUACAUAUAUUAUUUCUUCAGCAGGUUUCCCAAUUAGUUGUAAGCACUCCCUAUCCCAUAAGCUUAAAGAAACACCUCCAGAAUUAUCAGCAACAUAUACUCUUAGUCUAUACAUAUUUUUUUAUUAGAUAACAUGUUAGUAAGUCAUAAACAAUAGUAUUUUCCAAAUAUCUUAAAAUGGAUUUACCUCAUUUUUCCUGAAACAUCAAAGCUUGCACAGUUGUCACAAAAAAAUUUAUCAUCGUUUGCUUUCAGUUUUUUUAGGCAUAUGUUGCAUGCUAAGUAAGCCCAAGCUCGAAGCGUUGAUACAGAACAUAUUGUGCCAUAUAUCCAGUACAUUCCCUUCUUAAAAAACACAAAAAUAUAUUAUUUAAAUGUUUCAAAAAUUUAAUAUUAAAAAAUAUAAAAUUAUGUAAUAUUAAACCUAUUGACCAGUCAACUCUGAAAUAACCAUGAAUUUUGCACUGCCUUCAUUUAUUUCAUAUUCAAUUGUUCUAAUUGUUGGUGCUGCCAAUAACUUGAGAUUGAUUGAUCUUUCCUUGUGAAGUUUGAUAAAACUGCAAUUGGAAAUAAUGUGAACAAUAAUGUAUGCCGAUGCAAUUAAUUUUUAUUUUUUAAAAUACUUACUUGUCCUUCAUCUUCUUGAUUUCAACAAUGUUUUCAUCAAAAAGUAUGUUUGACACAUGAUAUGAACUUGAUAUACAAACUUCACCUGUUUCAUAAACCAAAAUGUAUUAGCACAAAUAGAUAAUAGAUAAUGAUAAUAUUUUUUUUUAUUUUUUCUACCUCUGAAUAUAGAUGGGCGACAGAAUUGUACUAUGAUACAUAUUGGCAUUUUUGGUUCUGUGCACAGAUAUUCAUGCAUUUUAUCUGCAUACUGUUCCCAAAGUGUGCAUGUCAUAGUCUUUCCCCUGCAAUUAAAUACAAUUUAGGUUAGUCAUUCACAUAUAUUGAGGUAUUUUAUUUAUGCAAUUAACAUAAUUGAAAGUAUAAUAAAUAUUACUCCAAAUCUUCUAUGAUGAUAUCCAUAAGCUUUGUUUGCUGUCCAUUGAAAUCUUUGAUUAUUGGCUGAUAACUUGAAACUACGAUUCCCAUGAUAUCUACAAUAUAAAUUUGAAAUUAAAAUUCAUAAGAUGAUAAUAAUUAAAAUAAAAUGGCUGAAAAGUUUUUACCAAACAUGACCACAUUCUGGACGUCAGAAAUAGAAGAAAUUUCUCCAAAAUUCUUGAUGUUGAAUGUGUGAUUUGGGAAUGUAUCAUCAUCGAGUUCUACAACUCUUGUGUGCUUGAACAAUAAAAGCUUAUAUUGUGACUCUGUGGUUUUGUAUUUCAUGGUGUUGUUGGCGAUAACAAAAUCCUUGAUUGCAUAAACAUGUCCUUCUGUGAGGAGUGGCUUAAUUUGCUGUAGUGAUGAAGUAUUAAUUGUGGCAUGGAUUCGAUCGCCCUGUAAAAAUAAACAAAAAUUUUUAGUAUGAUAUUUGAAAUUUUCGAAAAUAUAAAAAAAUAGUGUAUUGAGUGAGUACCUAUUUAUCAUGGAACACACACUCAUGAGAAAAUGUUUCAGAUCUGUUGUUGAACUUGAAGAUGUCAUAACUUCUUAUCAAGCGCAAUUGCAAUGCGAUCUUGCUCUUUCCCGGUUCCAAUUCCUUGAUGACGCCGAACAAAGGAGCCAUUUCAACGUAAAAUGAAAAAAUGAGAAUGAUUUUUGUGGAGAUCAAUUUUUUGGCUAUGGAAUUCGUAUUGUGAUAGGUGGAAUUCGUAUUGUGAUAGUUUGUGAGGUUAUAUUUAUAGAUGGUGUAAAUUAUUUAUUUUGUUUUAUAAAAUUAUGGAGUAACUGCUGCAGUUAUGGAUAGGAUUUAACUAAAUAACUGUAAUAGAUUUGUACAUUGUGUAAAUUAUUUAUUUUAUUUUAAAAUUCGUUGAUUCAGACA